Molecule: ribosomal RNA, 468 nt
Filed under: uncultured bacterium
Lineage: Bacteria
Description: partial 16S ribosomal RNA
Rfam family: Bacterial small subunit ribosomal RNA
Source: RNAcentral
GACGAACGCUGGCGGCGUGCUUAACACAUGCAAGUCGAACGGAAAGGCCCUGCUUUUGUGGGGUGCUCGAGUGGCGAACGGGUGAGUAACACGUGAGUAACCUGACCUUGACUUUGGGAUAACUUAAGGAAACUGGGGCUAAUAUCGGAUAGGAGCUCCUGCUGCAUGGUGGUGGUUGGAAAGUUUCGGCGGUUGGGGAUGGACUCGCGGCUCAUCAGCUUGUUGGUGGGGUAGUGGCGUACCAAGGCUUUGACGGGUAGCCGGCCUGAGAGGGUGACCGGCCACAUUGGGACUGAGAUACGGCCCAGACUCCUACGGUAGGCAGCAGUGGGGAAUAUUGCACAAUGGCCGGAAGCCGGAUGCAGCAACGCCGCGUGCGGGAUGACGGCCUUCGGGUUGUAAACCGCUUUCGCCUGUGACGAGGCGUGAGUGACGGUAAUGGGUAAAGAAGCACCGGCUAACUACGUG